This 478-nucleotide long non-coding RNA is filed under the name Ailuropoda melanoleuca (giant panda). Its description in RNAcentral is "lncRNA (ENSAMEG00000024856.1)". Lineage: Eukaryota; Metazoa; Chordata; Mammalia; Carnivora; Ursidae. The record is from RNAcentral.
UUUUGAAUCUCUUUUCUUAUACCUGAAAGACUGCUUCAACUCUCCAAUUCCCUGGGUGUAUAAUAGAUGGAACUGAGUUAAUUAUAUUAUUUUUUAUCAUAUUGAGUUUUUCAAUUGUUUUUGUUACAAAAGUAAAGUUACUACACAUAUAUAAUCUGCCAUUCACAAUAUCUAAUUUAGGACUCAGGAAUAACAACAUUAUAACUUUUAGUCAGCACAGCUCAUGUAAACGUGUUCCAAAAUAGCGGUUCCCCAUAUUUUUUUCUCCAUGACAUGUGUGACAGACAACAUUCACAAGCUCACAUCCUCCUGCGGACGAGAUCACCUUGAGGCUGCACUGGUCUUCCCAGCUGGAAUCAACUCUCUCCAACCGAGAUGGAUGUCAAAAUGCAAGUAAUAUUAAGAGAUGAGAUAAUAAGCCAAUCACUUGAAACUUAUUCUUGUCUGUGUGUACGUGUGAAGCAAAGUAUUGUGGGAA